GGUGGGAUAGCUGGGUCAAAUGGUGGUUCCAUUCCCAGUUUUCGGAGAAAUCUCCAUAUUGCUUUCCAUAGUGGUUGCACCAAUUUUCGAUCCCAUCAGCAAU
RNAcentral lists this microRNA precursor (103 nucleotides) under Marmota monax (woodchuck). The record is from RNAcentral. Lineage: Eukaryota; Metazoa; Chordata; Mammalia; Rodentia; Sciuridae.